ACACCAGCGCCACAAGUGGCAACCAAUUUUAUUGGGCCUAAAGCGUUCGUAGCCGGUUCAGUAAAUUUUCUGUGAAAUCGUUGCACUCAAUGUAACGGCAUGCAGGAAAGACUACUGGACUAGGGACCGGGAGGCGUUAGAGGAAUUCUUGAGGGAGCGGUAAAAUGCUAUAAUCUCAGGAGGACCUCCAGUGGCGAAGGCGUCUAACGAGAACGGAUCCGACGGUGAGGAACGAAAGCCAGGGGAGCGAACCGGAUUAGAAACCCGGGUAGUCC
RNAcentral lists this ribosomal RNA (275 nucleotides) under uncultured bacterium. RNAcentral's name for it is "partial 16S ribosomal RNA". It matches the Rfam family "Archaeal small subunit ribosomal RNA", at positions 473 to 747 of the family's 1478-position model. The record is from RNAcentral.